UUUCUUCGGUCCCAUUAACUCUGCUGUGGGAGCUCUCUUGGUCAGCUUCACUGUUUACAUCAUCCCGGCUUUAGCACAUAUGCUCACAUACAGAUCAGCCUCAGCUCGACAGGUAAAUGAUCUUGUCUUCGUACAUCUUAUCUUUUCGGUUUUUGUUUCCUGUCGAAGAUACGAACAAGUUAUGUUGGCACUGCCUAAUGCUGACAUAAAAUUGCUAUUCAAGUAUAUUAUUGGCCUUAGUUUCUCGGCCAUAAUAAUCAAAACCAAUUUGACAGAUAUGUAUACUGAUAGAAACAUCUUGCAUGUUAGGCAGCAAGGUAGGUACACUUUGGGCCACACUGGUUGUUUGGCAUGUAUAUCAUUGAGGUCCUAAUUACUAGCUAGUUAGAGUUAAAAGACAAGUCAGUACAUUGAAUUAGUCGAGAUACAUGUAAGCUAUCGAAAUAUUACUUGUCUGUACUAGGCAAACCCAUUUGUUUUUCGAGAUUUUUGUAUUUAUUUGGGAAAGUGAGAUCUAUAGAGAAGUCAUAAAAAUAAAAGCUAAGUUCUCCUGCAUAUCCCAUCGGUCAUGUUAAGUAAUGUUAACAUCACACCGAUUAAGUAUCAAAAUCUGUAAUGUUGUAUCAUAUUUGUUAAAUCACUUACCCGAUUUUGAUUUAGAAUUUUCGGAGUUUAGCCAUGUAUCAAAUGAAUUUAGAAAACAAAAAAAAGAGGGUUGGUGGAAUUUCCUUAUCAUUCAGUUAUAUGCUAUAGCCAUGGUUCUACACCAUACACCUUGGAAAUAGCUGGCAAGCUGACCCACUAGUCUUGUUCUUCACUCUAACUCUAGCUUUUUUAAAAAAAAAAAUUACACAAAGAGAUUAAAAAGAAAAGCAUUAUUAACUGUAAUCCUUAGAAAUUUUUUACUAUACUUUUUCUUUUUCGGCAAGUAUCAAAAUGUAAAUUUCACUUUUCAAGAGGGAUAAACUUAUAAUAUAGAUAUUAGGUCAUUCCCAUCAAUUUAAACUAUCUUACUCCCUUAAACUUUUGUCUAACCAGAAUGCGGCAGAGAAACCUCCAUUCUUCCUCCCAAGCUGGACAGCGGUGUAUGCGCUGAACGCAUUUGUGGUGGUCUGGGUGUUCGUGGUUGGGUUCGGGUUGGGAGGAUGGGCCAG
RNAcentral lists this long non-coding RNA (1154 nucleotides) under Carica papaya (papaya). RNAcentral describes it as "long non-coding RNA (CPAP_LNC011258)". The record is from RNAcentral. Lineage: Eukaryota; Viridiplantae; Streptophyta; Magnoliopsida; Brassicales; Caricaceae.